This 255-nucleotide ribosomal RNA is filed under the name uncultured bacterium. RNAcentral describes it as "partial 16S ribosomal RNA". It matches the Rfam family "Bacterial small subunit ribosomal RNA", at positions 524 to 776 of the family's 1533-position model. The record is from RNAcentral.
UACGUAGGGUGCAAGCGUUAAUCGGAAUUACUGGGCGUAAAGCGUGCGCAGGCGGUUGUGCAAGACAGAUGUGAAAUCCCCGGGCUUAACCUGGGAAUUGCAUUUGUGACUGCACGGCUAGAGUGUGUCAGAGGGGGGUAGAAUUCCACGUGUAGCAGUGAAAUGCGUAGAUAUGUGGAGGAAUACCGAUGGCGAAGGCAGCCCCCCUGGGAUAACACUGACGCUCAUGGCACGAAAGCGUGGGGAGCAAACAGG